Long non-coding RNA from Gasterosteus aculeatus aculeatus (three-spined stickleback), 993 nucleotides. The record is from Ensembl. Lineage: Eukaryota; Metazoa; Chordata; Actinopteri; Perciformes; Gasterosteidae.
UUACUGUUGCCUGGCAACCAAAAGCACUCAAGUCUAUGUUGAGCGUCACAUUUUCUUUGUAUCUCAAGAGCUUCCCAGUGACACUUGAACCCGCGACCUUGUGUUUCAGCAGACCGAGAUCAAGUGUGGGAUUUCUUUGGGAUUUUGGGGAGUGUGACAUAUUUGAACAACACUUACCAUGCGCCCACAAGCUGGCUUUGGAUAGCUCUAAAUAAUGUGAAGUGACUUAACCUAUAGUAGUGUUUAAAUGAUACGUGUUAUUAUAUCAACUUGUGCUUUUCUGACAUUCAAACUAAUGUUGGGGUGAAGAGGUCAGGUGGAUAAGGGCACUGUAAUGCAUAAACCUCUCAUACGGGAGACUAAGCUUGUGUCCAGCACUCGUUAAAUCGCUAAAUCUAAACAGAAUGUCAUUGAGUCGGUCCUUCAGGCCUCCCUCCAAAGCCCCCCCCCCCCCCCCCCCCCCCCAACAAUGAAUACUGCUUGUUGUUAGUACGAGCAGCUGUCAAGGUAGCAGCUUGUGGAAGACUUCAGUGAUGCGGAACGAAUGGGUAGAGUGCCCACAGGCAGGUAGACGGGCAGGUAGACGGGCAGGUAGACGGGCAGGUAGAAGGGCAGGUAGACAGGCAGGUAGACAGGCAGGUAGAAGGGGAGCUGAACCGACAGAUAGGCUGCCCAAUCGGGUCUUUUGGACCAAACCAAAUGAUUGGACGAGUUGAUGAGCAGUCAUGUGACAACCAGUGUUAGGGAUUUAAGCGAGAAGUGCACCCCUAUUGGUGGAAAUUAUACGUGUAAUAAUGUUUAGUGUUUGUGUGUUAUUAGAUAUUAGUUAUUAUAUUAACAUAUUAGAUAAAGUGAAUGUAAUAUGAAUUAAACACAAUGUAUAGUCAUGUAAAGCAUAUAAACACUGUACACAUUAACAUUCUGUCACAAUGUGAUGUUAAAACCUGGGGACUGAUGCUAAUUGCCGUCCUCUAUGGAUUUCUCCCAAUUUUC